Molecule: ribosomal RNA, 634 nt
Filed under: Acinetobacter baumannii OIFC137
Lineage: Bacteria; Pseudomonadati; Pseudomonadota; Gammaproteobacteria; Moraxellales; Moraxellaceae
Description: bacterial SSU rRNA
Rfam family: Bacterial small subunit ribosomal RNA
Source: RNAcentral
AUUGAACGCUGGCGGCAGGCUUAACACAUGCAAGUCGAGCGGGGGAAGGUAGCUUGCUACCGGACCUAGCGGCGGACGGGUGAGUAAUGCUUAGGAAUCUGCCUAUUAGUGGGGGACAACAUCUCGAAAGGGAUGCUAAUACCGCAUACGUCCUACGGGAGAAAGCAGGGGAUCUUCGGACCUUGCGCUAAUAGAUGAGCCUAAGUCGGAUUAGCUAGUUGGUGGGGUAAAGGCCUACCAAGGCGACGAUCUGUAGCGGGUCUGAGAGGAUGAUCCGCCACACUGGGACUGAGACACGGCCCAGACUCCUACGGGAGGCAGCAGUGGGGAAUAUUGGACAAUGGGGGGAACCCUGAUCCAGCCAUGCCGCGUGUGUGAAGAAGGCCUUAUGGUUGUAAAGCACUUUAAGCGAGGAGGAGGCUACUUUAGUUAAUACCUAGAGAUAGUGGACGUUACUCGCAGAAUAAGCACCGGCUAACUCUGUGCCAGCAGCCGCGGUAAUACAGAGGGUGCGAGCGUUAAUCGGAUUUACUGGGCGUAAAGCGUGCGUAGGCGGCUUAUUAAGUCGGAUGUGAAAUCCCCGAGCUUAACUUGGGAAUUGCAUUCGAUACUGGUGAGCUAGAGUAUGGGAGAG